GUGCUCACUUCAACAGCACAUAAGAAAACUGAGAAUGAUACGGAGACGAUAGCAUGGGCCUUAUACAAGGAUGCUGUGCACCUUUGUCAAGCAUUUCGUAUUUUU
This is a small nuclear RNA of Camelus dromedarius (Arabian camel), 105 nucleotides long. The record is from Ensembl. NCBI's taxonomy places the organism in Eukaryota, Metazoa, Chordata, Mammalia, Artiodactyla, Camelidae.